AAAUCACGACAGAACAUCAAGAUUUGUAAGUUUACUCCCCAAGAACAUCUUGGAGAGUAAACACCUUUUCAAGAGCCAAAUGGUGCCUAGUCUUUCCUUAAGCCAUGAAACUAGUUUGGACUUGUACACAAAUGAGUUUUGGAACAUAAAAUAAGCUCAAAACAAUAAGAUUUGAGAGUUUACUCCCCAAGAACAUCUUGGAGAGUAAACUCCAUUUGGAGAGUAAACUCCAUUUUAAGGGCAAUAGUGUUCCAAUGUCCCUCAAAGCCUUGAAACUCAAACUAGAAGCUACCAUUACAUGUUUAGACCACCAAAACAAUUAAGAAUCAAGAGUGAAAGUGAGUUCACGGCCAAGGAAGUUCUUGGGCCGUGAACUCCAUUUUAGGGUGUCAAAGUGCCCUAAAUGCCACCCUUAAGCCAAGAGACUAGCAUAGCUUUUUACCUCUAUGUGUCUAAGACCAAAAACAACCAAAAUACCAACACCUUAAGUGUUUAUGGCCGCAAACACAUGACCAAAUGGUCUAUGGGCGGAAAACUCAAGUUAGGGGUGUUUUGGUGCCACAAACACUUCCUAAGGCUUAGGCAUGAAUUUAGAAUGCUUCCUUAUGACCUUUAAGACCCUCAUAAACAUAUUUGGACAUGAGUUUACGGUUGUAAACUCAUUUGGGCCGUGAACACCCCAAAAGUGCCAAAAGAAGUGGUCUUUCUCAUCCUAGGCUAAAGCUAAUGUCCCUAAAUCAUUCCCUAGCUUUCAUACUUGCACUAACCCAUGAGUAACCAUAAGUUUACGGCCGUAAACUACCUUGGGCUGCGAACUCAUGGUAGUAAACUCAUUUGUGUGCCUUAUACCUUCCUAUGUUGAAUCACAUGUGAUUCCAACACUUGGUCAAGGUGUUUCCUAGUCCCGGAAGGUGUUAUCUUUCAUAUAGUUGUUAUAAACACUAUAUUCAUGUCAUUAUGUGUCCUUAAAUAUCAUUUAGGACUUAUUGUGUCUCGGGACUUCAUUCGUGGAACUUCUCAUCCNNNNNNNNNNNNNNNNNNNNNNNNNNNNNNNNNNNNNNNNNNNNNNNNNNNNNNNNNNNNNNNNNNNNNNNNNNNNNNNNNNNNNNNNNNNNNNNNNNNNNNNNNNNNNNNNNNNNNNNNNNNNNGGGGGGGAAUACAAGUAGAAAACAGCAUGUUAUUAAAUCAUCUAUAUGUAUUUUAUAACUGUGUUUUCAUUCAACAGAUUUCACAUACUACAAAAUGUGAUGCAUGAAAUGGUUUUCUAGCUUUAAAAUACUUUGUUAUCAAAUGUAUUACUUUUGAAAUGUUUAUCAAAAUGACAUCAAGUCACUUUUAUAUUUGUUCAAAACCCUUAGAUGUCUUACAAAACCAUUUUGCAUUCUUGAACUAAAUUAUGCAUAUACACUUAUAUUCUUUUAUAUGUAUUGAUGAUAUAGUUUACAGCUUUCAUUUAGUUUCUCACACCCUUGAGUAGUAAGAGUGUAUAAACCUACUUGAACAACCAAUUACCUUUCAGUAAAUUAUCAUAGGGAUAAUUUGAAGAUAUCAAACAUUAUUCCUAUUACAAGGAAUCACACAAGAGUCAGUUCAUUCAUGAGUCUAUACCAGUAUAUUACCUGAUACAUGAGUACGUUUACAUAUGCUUACAUGAUACAUGAAUAUGCUUACAUGAACACAUUACAUGCGUACCUUGACAUAGAUACACUUACCUGUGUAUAUUAACAUGAAUACUUGUAUCUCGAAUUGCGAGGAUGAUUUAUUAGUACCUUCUAUGUAAAUCUUCCUGCAUAUCCCCAAUACCUCCGGAUAUCUAGACAGAACCUUGUCCGUAGUACCUCGGGAUAUCUAGACGGGACCCUAUCCCUAAUACCUCGGGAUAUAUGGACGAGACUAACCAUUCCGGAACCUAGCUAUUAGCAACAGUGGGUGAUGAACAUCUACGAAUGUCUAAGGUUAUUACUUAUAUUAGGAGUCAAUUACGGGACUAACCCUUCCUCCGCCCUGCUGCUGCUACAGAGGACAAUUGGAAAAUCUUCGGAUGUUCAUUAGGUUAUAUAUGUCGUGUUAGCCCUAGUACCUUGGGAUAACAUUUACAUACGUCGUGUUAGCCCUAGUACCUCGGCAUAACAUUUACGUAUGUCGUGUUAGCCCUAGUACCUCGGGAUAACACUUACUUUAGUAUAUUUUCCAAUUUACAUUAUUUUGUGAUAAGUUAUACGUUUCGCUUUACGCGAUGGCGUGUUAGCCUUAGUACCUCGGGAUAACACUUACAUUAGUACUUUUUCCUAUUUACUUUAUUUUGUGAUACUUUCACCUAAACAAAGAGUUAGACUAAGUACUUUUAGCACUAAUCAAUAGAAAGGAAAAACUAUCAUUUUACUUACAAAACAUUCGGGUCUUGGUAGAAGACUACAUUAUCAUAACAAAACAUUCGGGUCUUGGUAGAAGACUACAUUAUCAUAACAAAACAUUUGGGUCUUGGUAGAAGACUACAUUGUCAUAACAAAACAUUCGGGUCUUGGUAAAAGACUACAUUGUCAGAACAAAACAUUCGGGUCUUGGUAGAAGACUACAUCUCAAACUGAUAGAAAAUAAGGGAUUUUCUAGGGUUUUUCAUACUUACAUCAACAUUUUCAUUUAAAGGUUUACAUGACUUUUAAAACAGCUUUUAGUAAGCAAGACAAUGACACUUAAAUACUUAUGAAUUCACCAGCUUUAAAGCUGAUACUCGCUUUCAAAAUAACUUGUAUUCUCAGGUCAUCAGUUAGACAGGUGCGAUGGCCAGGUUUUUGAGAAGAUGGAGCACAGACAAGACUCGCCUUAUUUUGAUUAUUCAUUUUAUUGUUGUACAUUAUGAAAGAACACACAUGUAUUAAAACUUUACUUUUAAUGCAAUGGAUGAUGUUGUUGCUUGUUUACUACUUUACACUGUUAUGAUACUUCACAUGACGUCCUCCACCCCUGAACGUUUCCGCCGUUCUUGGUUUUGGGGUGUGACAGAUUGGUAUCAGAGCAUUGUUUAUAGUGAAUAAAGUAUAUCAACCCAUAAAAGAUAUACUAACUAUAAAUACAUUGGGAUUAAAACACUCUGUCUAAGAGUUAUACUUUUAAAUAAUAAAAUAUUUAACAAAGUAUACGUGCCUGCAUUCAUACUAAAAUCAGUGUCACAAUGACAAGAACAAAAGUAUUACGAUUGUUGAAUAUCACAGGUAAGCUCGGGGAUGUAUGGUCAGUCUUGGGAGUGGCAUAGCCUGAUCAACUAUGCUGUUCCAAAGAGUGAUUAGCACAUGCCCAAGAAUGGUUGUGAUAUGACAACAAGUCUAAAAACUUACCAACAUCACCAAAAUGAGAACAUUAUAACGGAACCUAAGUCUAAAAUAGCAUAGGGGUGUUUUGUGUUACUAAAGUACUUAAUACUUGAGAACUAAAAUGGAAUCCUCAUUCCUAAGUUGAUAAUUGCUAAGUGGAUACGCUAAAGUUAUAUGUAACUAGGAUGUUAUAGACUUAGAAUCGGUGAAAUUUUUGCUUUACCCCUAUUCCUUGUGAAUUUGGAGUUGAGGUCACUUAUUCGAAGGCCUAUCCUGUGUUGAUUACAUAUAACUGGUAUGCACUUUACAAAUAGCGAUGUAACUAAUGAAGAUUUCCUAAAUAAUUAUCUAGAUAGUUCGUCUAAUAAUUAUUUUCUUACCCCAAAUUCUCGCGUAGAUAACAUGGCUGGAUUCCAUCCCCACGACAACCUGUUCCUUCCGAACGCGGUUAUUGCUGGAUGGUUUGGAGAAGAACCAGAUAAUGAUCAUCCAAUCCCUCUGAAUGAUCACCAUGCUGAAGACCUUUCAGACGAUGCCAUCUCCGAACUCGAGGUUGAGAACCUACCCCAGGCAGCUCCCUUUCCGAUUCCUAACCCUCGUCCGACUUUUCAUGGCCCGAAGCCUGAGGGGGUGGAAUGUUUGGAAACAUGGAACCAAGGACAAGAUCAGCCCAUGCCAUUUAAUGGUGACCGAAGCUUCUAUGACCUGAGCAAUGGGGGCUCAGCCGACAAAAGCAUGCCAAUUCUGAUCCGAAGAGUUGCCCGAAACGAAAUUCAAGGCAGGACAGCUCUACAACGUAUCGCAGAAGUUGAUACAAAUGGAGGAAUGCAUAUGCUUCGCACCAGUCGCCUUGAACAUGCUCGUGAGAGGUCUGAGAGAGACCAUGAAACCCUGCUGCAAGAACUGGCUGAAUCACGAGCCGAAGUCAUGGAACUUCGAGUACGCCAGAGAGUGUACGAAAGACACCUACUUGAUGUGGAACGCCAACUGGCUGAACUGAGAGUUCACCAGAGGGAUGACCGUCGCCAGUAUUAGAUGCUUUACUUUAUAUUCCUUAUUAGAAAGGAAUCGUGUUCCUGUCUAUGCCCGAUGUGGCAUUUUCUAUGAAACUAUCUUGUACAGUGAGUACUUUAGUUAGGUCUUUAUACUGUUAGGAACUAUCUUCUCUGGUUAUGAUGUAAGACCUUUUUACAAGGUCAUUUUCCCGAACUUGUACGUCAUGAAUAUCAAAGAUAUUGACAGUCGGCUAACUUCUGAGUCAUUCUUUAUUCAAAUACUCUUAUCAUACUUUCAUUAGAGUCUAUUUGAAUCAUGCUCUAGUCAAGUCAUUGGACUAUAGCCAUUUAACUCUGGAGACAUCUCCGAGUCUCUUUUAAUGGUUGGAUCACAUUAUUCGCCAACCAACGAUACCUCGGCUAGAACAACAAACAUCUUGAGACCAUUGCAUGAACUUACUCUCGAUCUUUGCUAGGACUGCAUCAUAGGGAUGUAGGUCAAACCUUCGUGAACAUACUUCCAUUCCGUACUAGGACUGCAUCAUAGGGAUGUAGGUUGAACCUUAGAGAACAUACUUCUAUUCUUUACAUGAGCGAUCGAACUAUGUCUAGGUUCAACCAUUCUCGCUCAAAAAUUCAUUUUCUUUCAGUGUAACAGAAUCAUGUCACCCAAGAAAAAUGAUCAGCCCUCCAACCAAACACCAACUCUUCAGAUUGAUGCAGCUACCUUUCAAGCUGCAGUCUCGGCUGCCGUGUCAGCUAUUCUGACCCACCUGAACGCUAACAACACAAGUGUUAGUGGGAUUGUUAACAAUCAUUCCAAUCCAAGUAAAAAACGGAAGUCUUGGAAUAAACCUAAGGACAAGUCGCUUCGAAGGGCGAACAGGAAACAACCACCAGUAACAACCUUCACAGCCACGACAUCAGCACCUCCAACUACCAUCCCUUCGGACAUCCCAAUUGUCCCUAAACCAGCCAAACAUUAUGCUGGAAGUCUCCCAAAAUGCAUUAAAUGCAAUUUUCACCACCAUGGAAGUUGUAGGGAGAAGCAGUGCUCACACUGCAACAGGAAGGGGUAUACAGCCCGUGUCUGCAGGAAGCCAACAGCUCAGGCCGCUCAAGUGCCAAACACCAGUGUGAACCAGGUUUGCUACGUUUGUGGCAAAGUUGGUCACUACAAAAGGAACUGCCCAGGGGCAGAAAUUGCUGGCACACACGGCAGUAUGCUACCGACCACCGCCGUAGGAGAGUCUACUCCGGACCCACGUUAAUGUAAUUUAGGCGUUUCGUUGUAACAAACUUAUGAACCAUCCCAAAACUAGUGUAACCAGUGUCUUAUCUUUUGCGGGAUCCCGUCCGUUUAGGGAUGCUCGUGCUGCGUAUACUUGUCUUUUGUAGUAUACCUUAUUCGCAACAAUAGUGUUGUAGUAAAUCCUAAGUACAGUAACUCUGUUAAUGGUUGCACUGUUGUGUUUUGUAUGUAACGCCUUAUGUUCAAAAUCUAAUGUCUUUAGUUUCCAUACGAUUCCGACUUUAUCAUGUGACUCGAGUAAAUUCGAUCCUUGCAAUACCAGCUUCAUAAGUACAUCUCUUUCUCAGAAAUCGUCUUUUAGCGAAGCCGUCAUAUCAGAACACCGAAGUACUCAUACAAGGAGUACCUUAUAGUUCUUUUCCUUUCCGAAGGAAUCCCCACAGUAUUACUCGUGCAGUACGCCAAGUUCAAUUCCAUGAUUCAUACAGUUGAUCUAUCACUGAAGAAUGUAUACAUGAGAGUGAUAUAUAAUCAAUGUUCUACAGGUUUAGAAUUGAUGAUUCCACUUUAACUUCUUUUCCCUCGAUGGGAUGUGAGAUUAAGGAAGAAUCAGUUAUUCGACUACCUUUUCAGUCUUAAUUAUAUAACAAAUCGUAUACACGAAAUUGUGAUUAUUGAAUCACGUAUGAAUUCUAAUAUGAACUUUAGAACCGAGACUGUCCAGGAGUACGAGUAAUUGCAUUGGCAUACAAACAAACUUAGAACCCAGUAUGACUCUUAUAACCAGAUCGCCUUCAGUCUAAGCACCUACGGAAGAUACAAGAAUAGCCCGGACAACACAACGAACUACUCAAAAAUAGAAUUAGAAGAUCGGGCUUCUAACCCUUGAGAGCUCCGGUCCUAUUAUUACCAGAAGUCGACGGAGUGCAUCUUAUGUACCUUGACGACCGGAGACUUCAUUAAGAUUUCCUUUAGAAAUUGUUGUCUCUGCCUCGCAUAGACGAACUGAUUGAGCAACCACAAGGAAAGUAUUACUUUCAGAAAUGGACCAGAGAUCCGAAUAUCACCAGUUCGAGUGUUAGGGAAGGAUGUCCUAAAGACUACCCUCCGAACUCGAUACGGACACUUCGAGUCCGUAGUGAUACACCUUAGAUAGGACCAAUACGACCAUAGUAUUCAUGAGCUAAAUGAGUGGAGUACGCCUUUCUUACUGGGAUCAGUUCGUCAUUUCUCCAUGUAAUGACUUACUUAUCUACCCUCGUAGUAAGAAAGAACCCAUAGAAACAUUACCCUCGGAGAUACUUUUUGCAAAGUUCUCUAAUCAAGAGUUUUGGAAUUUAUAGUCAAAUUUCCUGAGACACACUAUUAGUGUUGUGGAAAUUCUUGAGUACUCUGUUAAAUUAUCCAAACCCGUUGGGAAUUUUUCGGCACCGUAGUCACCGACGAAAAAGUCGCCAAAUUCUAGGUCUUAGAGACCUACUAUCAUAGUCCAUUCGGAACUCCCCACAAAUUUCAGAAACCCUUUCGACUUUGACCCAACAAGGGAUGGCCCUUGACUGGGAAGUAAGUGAGAGAAAGAACCUUUGGAAUUCCAAGUGGGAGACCAAAUUCAUUAGGAAACCUCACUCUGGGAACGGCUUAAUACGCUUCGUAAAGCGUGGAAAGCUAAAUCCAAUGUAGUUGGGACCUCCGAGCUUCUUACCAGAAUCGGUCCUACAUCUCACAAAUUAGACCUACUCUGCGCACUCAAUAACGUACAUUUUCCCCUUCGCUUCUCGAACUUGAAACAGUAUCCUUCCGUUAGGACUUUCGUAAUCCCUCUCGACGAGAUCGAGAUUUACGAGAUCCUUGCCUUCAUAUUAGAACCGUAGUAACCCUCGACCGAGAGGUCAAGCGGACGAAGCAACGCUGUCGCCCGUUAGUGAAGGUUCGUUGGGAUACCAACCGAGAACCCGAUUUCACUUAGGAGUGCGAGAACCAAUCAAUUAGGAAGUUCACAUGACGACUCGAUCAUUCGUACAUACUUCCUUGCCUAAAUUCUAAUUUCGGGAUGAAAUUCCCUUUAACAGGGGGAUGAUGUGACAACCCGGAAUUUCUAUUCUGAACAAACAAUAUCACUUCAAUAGAAGUUAUAAAAGUCAUAGUAAAUUUUCAGACUUUUCGGAUAAGUUUGAGUAAUUCAUGGUUUACACUUCAGGAGAUAUCAGGAGAGUGGAUGCACUAGGGUUUCGUGCAACACUGUUAUUCGAACACUCUAUCAUAUUAGAAAUCAUUUCGGGAAUAAAAAUAUUUUCUGCCAAAAAUAUCUCAGGACUAUAAAUAGAAUUCUGCACCAAAUUCAUUCAUUAUUCGCAUUUCCAACUAGAGAAAAGCCAUUUUUCUCUCACGGAUCUUUAGGUUCUUAACCCAAAUCGUGAGUACUUCAAUCUAGUUGUAUUAUAUAGCUUAGAUUGUGCUUAAUAACAUCAAAAUCACGACAGAACAUCAAGAUCUGUGAGUUUACUCCCCAAGAACAUCUUGGAGAGUAAACUCCUUUUCAAGAGCCAAAUGGUGCCUAGUUUUUCCUUAAGCCAUGAAACUAGUUUGGACUUGUACAGAAAUGAGUUUAGGAACAGAAAACAAACUCAAAACAACAAGAUUUGAGAGUUUACUCCCCAAGAACAUCUUGGAGAGUAAACUCCAUUUGGAGAGUAAACUCCGUUUUAAGGGCCAAUAGUGUCCCAAUGUCCCUCAAAGCCUUGAAACUCAAACUAGAAGCUACCAUUACAUGUUUAGACCACCAAAACAAUUAAGAAUCAAGAGUGAAAGUGAGUUCACGGCCAAGGAAGUUCUUGGGCCGUGAACUCUAUUUUAGGGUGUCAAAGUGACGUAAAUUCCACCCUUAAGCCAAGAGACUAGCAUAGCUUUUUACCUUGAUGUGUCUAAGACCCAAAACAACCAAAAUACCAACACCUUAAGUGUUUACGGCCGCAAACACAUGACCAAAUGGUCUAUGGGCCGAAAACUCAAGUUAGGGGUGUAUUCGUGCCACAAACACUUCCUAAGGCUUAGGCAUGAAUUUAGAAUGCUUCCUUAUGACCUUUAAGACCCUCAUAAACAUAUUCGGACAUGAGUUUACGGUUGUAAACUCAUUUGGGCCGUGAACACCCCAAAA
Molecule: long non-coding RNA, 8712 nt
Filed under: Lactuca sativa (garden lettuce)
Lineage: Eukaryota; Viridiplantae; Streptophyta; Magnoliopsida; Asterales; Asteraceae
Description: long non-coding RNA (LSAT_LNC005341)
Source: RNAcentral